AGAUGUUCAUGGAUAGCACCAAGAUUAUGAUCAUCAAUGUCAUCAAGAAACAAUAGCUUUUUUCAUUUCAAAACAAGGAUCAGAGAUGGAGCAUUGUAUGAAAUCCUAAAGAAGAUUUUCAUGAUCAAAAUUGAACAUGGGACUUCGAAAAAAAGAAAAGUUGUUCGACUCUAACAACUCGUUCAAGAGAAGAUAAAGAGAAAGUGAAUAUUCUCUUCACUUUCUCUCUAUACAUAUGAAAAUAUGAUUCGCAAAUUGGCUCCUAUCAAUUCACGCAAUGGCAAGAAAAUUAUAAAAUCACCUAGAGGAAAAACAGAUAAAAGGCAAAUAAGAUAAGACAAGUCAAACAUUCUUUCAUAAGACAAGUCAACUGAUAAUAAAUAAAAGAAAUGUAAAAUUAUAAAUGGUGUGUCUUCUCAGCAGUUGACUUUUUAUAUAAACAUUAAAGUCUUUUAGAUCAACAA
Long non-coding RNA from Xenia sp. Carnegie-2017, 464 nucleotides. RefSeq lists it as uncharacterized. The record is from RefSeq and is a predicted model, not a curated record. Lineage: Eukaryota; Metazoa; Cnidaria; Anthozoa; Malacalcyonacea; Xeniidae. The transcript is spliced from 2 exons.